CGGCGCGGGAUGGGGUCGCGGCCCAUUAGGUAGACGGCGGGGUAACGGCCCACCGUGCCCGCGAUGGGUAGCCGGACUGAGAGGUCGACCGGCCACAUUGGGACUGAGAUACGGCCCAGACUCCUACGGGAGGCAGCAGUGGGGAAUUUUGCGCAAUGGGGGCAACCCUGACGCAGCAACGCCGCGUGCGGGACGAAGGCCUUCGGGUUGUAAACCGCUUUCAGCAGGGAAGACUUUGACGGUACCUGCAGAAGAAGCUCCGGCUAACUACGUGCCAGCAGCCGCGGUAAUACGUAGGGGGCGAGCGUUAUCCGGAUUCAUUGGGCGUAAAGCGCGCGUAGGCGGCCGCCUAAGCGGAACCUCUAAUCCCGGGGCUCAACCUCGGGCCGGGUUCCGGACUGGGCGGCUCGAGUGCGGUAGAGGCAGGCGGAAUUCCCGGUGUAGCGGUGGAAUGCGCAGAUAUCGGGAAGAACACCGAUGGCGAAGGCAGCCUGCUGGGCCGCCACUGACGCUGAGGCGCGAAAGCUGGGGGAGCGAACAGGAUUAGAUACCCUGGUAGUCCCAGCCGUAAACGAA
RNAcentral lists this ribosomal RNA (576 nucleotides) under uncultured bacterium. Its description in RNAcentral is "bacterial SSU rRNA". It matches the Rfam family "Bacterial small subunit ribosomal RNA", at positions 216 to 810 of the family's 1533-position model. The record is from RNAcentral.